RNAcentral lists this non-coding RNA (130 nucleotides) under Nocardioides sp. Lineage: Bacteria; Bacillati; Actinomycetota; Actinomycetes; Propionibacteriales; Nocardioidaceae. The record is from RNAcentral.
GUACGCUGCCCGGGUUACAACAACUUCACGUUCGCGGUGGGGGAAGCCGGUCUGAAUCCGGCGCUGACCCGCAACCGUAGGCCACCUCGGGGUGGCGAGCCGGAGCACCUGUCGCAGACGUCUUGACACA